This 261-nucleotide long non-coding RNA is filed under the name Elaeis guineensis (African oil palm). RNAcentral's name for it is "long non-coding RNA (EGUI_LNC041559)". The record is from RNAcentral. Lineage: Eukaryota; Viridiplantae; Streptophyta; Magnoliopsida; Arecales; Arecaceae.
GUCGUGGGCUAUCCAGGGUCAGGCGGAGUUUGUUGCGAAGAGUAGUGGAGUAGACCCGUGGCUAACACCGAAGCACGCCAUGUGGAGUCUGCUGCAGGGAGUGGAGCGGCGUCCGUUGUCGCGACUUGCCAGGGGAUGGAAGAAUUGCGCGGUAUCCAUCGCAGGAAAUGGAGCAGUGCUGUAGCCGUUACUGCGGCCUGCCAGGGAGUAAUGGAGCCACGUAGGAUCUGCCGUAGGGAGUAAUGGAGCCGCGUAGGAUUC